CAUCACGUGCGUCGUAGUCGUCGAUUUUCUUGAUCACGUCACCCCUCUGGAGCGCCUCGUUCUCCGACUGCGAACAUAACAUCAACCGGUCUUGAAAAUUUAUCUGCAGUGUACGAUAAAAAAUUAUGCGAAAUUCUUAAGUGCCAAAAACACAUAGUGAGACAACAAAAAUGUGCUUUGCAUGAAUCUAUUUUACCUGAAGAUUACUCCCCCUAAAUACUUAAAAGUUAUGAAUAAAUUGAACUAAAAGUUAUUGACAUUUUUAUCGGACUGCAUAGUAAAAUUAAUGUGAUGGACGUACUUCUGUGAACCGAAAAGGGAGAUUAAGAAGACAUUUACAUAACAGAUUAUAUUUUGUACUUGAAGUCGAUAAAUGCGUAAAGACACGUUUCGGUUAUCUUGUUAAACUACGUUUCGCGCAAGCUCACAGGGAUGCACCGUAUCAUCGUGUAUCAAUGAAUCAGUGAGCGCUAGAUCGAAUCGCUGAUUUGAGAAUUCCUUGGCAACUCUCACAGCGACUUCCUUCUGCUUCAAAUGUUCACGGAAUUGUGUUACAUCUUCUCCUAUUGUUCGCUCGCAAUUCUCAAAUGUCAGUGUAAAAUUGUACCAAAAUCAAAUAUAUAUAUAUAUA
This is a long non-coding RNA of Ooceraea biroi (clonal raider ant), 631 nucleotides long. RefSeq lists it as uncharacterized. The record is from RefSeq and is a predicted model, not a curated record. NCBI's taxonomy places the organism in Eukaryota, Metazoa, Arthropoda, Insecta, Hymenoptera, Formicidae.